GAUGAACGCUGGCGGCGUGCCUAAUACAUGCAAGUCGAGCGAACAGACGAGGAGCUUGCUCCUCUGACGUUAGCGGCGGACGGGUGAGUAACACGUGGAUAACCUACCUAUAAGACUGGGAUAACUUCGGGAAACCGGAGCUAAUACCGGAUAACAUGUUGAACCGCAUGGUUCAACAGUGAAAGACGGUCUUGCUGUCACUUAUAGAUGGAUCCGCGCCGCAUUAGCUAGUUGGUAAGGUAACGGCUUACCAAGGCAACGAUGCGUAGCCGGCCUGAGAGGGUGAUCGGCCACACUGGAACUGAGACACGGUCCAGACUCCUACGGGAGGCAGCAGUAGGGAAUCUUCCGCAAUGGGCGAAAGCCUGACGGAGCAACGCCGCGUGAGUGAAGAAGGUCUUCGGAUCGUAAAACUCUGUUAUUAGGGAAGAACAAAUGUGUAAGUAACUAUGCACGUCUUGACGGUACCUAAUCAGAAAGCCACGGCUAACUACGUG
RNAcentral lists this ribosomal RNA (497 nucleotides) under uncultured bacterium. RNAcentral's name for it is "partial 16S ribosomal RNA". It matches the Rfam family "Bacterial small subunit ribosomal RNA", at positions 28 to 507 of the family's 1533-position model. The record is from RNAcentral.